This 1245-nucleotide ribosomal RNA is filed under the name metagenome. Its description in RNAcentral is "bacterial LSU rRNA". It matches the Rfam family "Bacterial large subunit ribosomal RNA", at positions 1564 to 2818 of the family's 2925-position model. The record is from RNAcentral.
UGAUGACGAGACGCUAAGGCGUUGAAGUGGUGUAUGUCAGACUUCCAAGAAAAGCUCGCAAUGUCAUAGAUAAAAAAUGCCUGUACCAUAACCGACACAGGUGGGUAGGUAGAGUAUACUAAGGGGCGCGAGAUAACUCUCUCUAAGGAACUCGGCAAAAUGACUCCGUAACUUCGGGAGAAGGAGUGCCUUAUUUAUAAGGUUGCAAUAACAAGAUCCAAGCAACUGUUUAUCAAAAACACAGGUCUCCGCUAAGUCGUAAGACGAUGUAUGGGGGCUGACGCCUGCCCAGUGCCAGAAGGUUAAAGAAGUUGGUUAGUGUAAGCGAAGCUGAUAGCUGAAGCCCUGGUGAACGGCGGCCGUAACGAUAACGGUCCUAAGGUAGCGAAAUUCCUUGUCGGGUAAGUUCCGACCCGCACGAAAGGCGUAAUGAUUUGGAUACUGUCUCGGAGAGAGGCUCGGUGAAAUAGACUUGUCUGUGAAGAUGCGGACUACCUGCACCAGGACAGAAAGACCCUAUGAAGCUUUACUGUAACUUGAAAUUGGAAUUGGACUUUGCUUGCGCAGUAUAGGUGGGAAGCGUUGAAGAUACUCUUGCGGGACUAUUGGAGCUAUCAGUGAGAUACCACUCUUGUAAUGUUAGAUUUCUAACUUUGAACCAUAAUCUGGUCAAAGAACAGUUUCAGGCGGGCAGUUUGACUGGGGCGGUCGCCUCCUAAAUGGUAACGGAGGCGUACAAAGGUUUCCUCUGAACGGAUAGAAAUCGUAUCUAGAGUGUAAAGGCAUAAGGAAGCUUGACUGUGAGACCUACAAGUCGAGCAGGGACGAAAGUCGGUCUUAGUGAUCUGACGGUACUGAGUGGAAAGGCCGUCACUCAACGGAUAAAAGUUACUCUAAGGAUAACAGGCUGAUCUCCCCCAAGAGUUCACAUCGACGGGGAGGUUUGGCACCUCGAUGUCGGCUCAUCGCAUCCUGGGGCGGUAGUACGUCCCAAGGGUUGGGCUGUUCGCCCAUGAAAGCGGUACGCGAGCUGGGUUCAGAACGUCGUGAGACAGUUCGGUCCAUAUCCGGUGUAGGCGUUAGAAUAUUGAGAGGAGCCUUCUUUAGUACGAGAGGACCGAGAAGGACACACCGCUGGUGUACCAGUUAUCGUGCCAACGGUAAACGCUGGGUAGCUAUGUGUGGAGAGGAUAACCGCUGAAAGCAUCUAAGUGGGAAGCCCACCUCAAGAUGAGUAUUCUCAUC